RNAcentral lists this long non-coding RNA (202 nucleotides) under Lathyrus oleraceus (garden pea). Its description in RNAcentral is "Pisum sativum (pea) long non-coding RNA (PSAT_LNC035115)". The record is from RNAcentral. Lineage: Eukaryota; Viridiplantae; Streptophyta; Magnoliopsida; Fabales; Fabaceae.
AAAGUUGAUUAGAAACGUGGAAAAGUGAGUUUUCAUGAAAGGGUGAAUAUUUGAAAAGAACAAGAAACAAGAAUCACCCCUUGAAACCAUAGAGCAAAGAAGAAGAAAAAAAAAAGCAAAUAAAAUGCUCAUGGUUGUGUGGAUUGUAAAAAGAGAAAGAAAAAGAUACGGAUCAAAGAAAGGGAAAUUGUGUAGAGUUGGA